RNAcentral lists this long non-coding RNA (351 nucleotides) under Pan troglodytes (chimpanzee). RNAcentral's name for it is "long non-coding RNA NONPTRT000956". Lineage: Eukaryota; Metazoa; Chordata; Mammalia; Primates; Hominidae. The record is from RNAcentral.
GCCUGCAGGGCUGAUGUAGACAUGGGGAGAGAAUGAAAUUAAAAAGGAUUCCCUCGCCCCCAUCUCGACACCCCCGCCCCGCAGUCCCUCGCUCCUGCUUCUUCCCCUCUCCCCUCUCCCCUCCCCUCACUCAGUGCUUCCACAUGUCUCUCCUCCCCCCAGUCCAGAUGGGAGCUGGCUCCUUCAGAAAGGGGGCUCAGAACAGGGUGUGGGGAGCUACCUCUCUCUGCCUCCCCCCACCACAUCUGUCUGCAGGGCUGGGAGCCCCCACGAUUCAGUGGUCCUGAGCCUUCUGAAGUUAGGCUUCUGCCUGGUGGUGGGGAUCCUGACAUCAAGGAUGGGACACCCUGG